Molecule: small RNA, 499 nt
Filed under: uncultured Entrophospora
Lineage: Eukaryota; Fungi; Glomeromycota; Glomeromycetes; Entrophosporales; Entrophosporaceae
Description: SSU rRNA
Rfam family: Eukaryotic small subunit ribosomal RNA
Source: RNAcentral
AGCAGCCGCGGUAAUUCCAGCUCCAAUAGCGUAUAUUAAAGUUGUUGCAGUUAAAAAGCUCGUAGUUGAACUUCGGGAUCAAUCGAUUGGUCAUGCCUUGGUAUGUACUGUUCAUAUUGGUUCUCACCUUCUAAUGAACCAUAAUGUCAUUUAUUUGAUGUUAUGGGGAAUUAGGACUGUUACCUUGAAAAAAUUAGAGUGUUUAAAGCAGGCUCACGCUUGAAUACAUUAGCAUGGAAUAAUGAAAUAGGACAUCGCAUUCUAUUUUGUUGGUUUCUAGGAUCGAUGUAAUGAUUAAUAGGGAUAGUUGGGGGCAUUAGUAUUCAAUUGUCAGAGGUGAAAUUCUUGGAUUUAUUGAAGACUAACUACUGCGAAAGCAUUUGCCAAGGAUGUUUUCAUUAAUCAAGAACGAAAGUUAGGGGAUCGAAGACGAUCAGAUACCGUCGUAGUCUUAACCAUAAACUAUGCCGACUAGGGAUCGGAUGAUGUUGAUUUUUUU